UGGGGAAUAUUGCACAAUGGGCGCAAGCCUGAUGCAGCCAUGCCGCGUGUGUGAAGAAGGCCUUCGGGUUGUAAAGCACUUUCAGCGGGGAGGAAGGCGAUAAGGUUAAUAACCUUGUCGAUUGACGUUACCCGCAGAAGAAGCACCGGCUAACUCCGUGCCAGCAGCCGCGGUAAUACGGAGGGUGCAAGCGUUAAUCGGAAUUACUGGGCGUAAAGCGCACGCAGGCGGUCUGUCAAGUCGGAUGUGAAAUCCCCGGGCUCAACCCGGGAACUGCAUUCGAAACUGGCAGGCUAGAGUCUUGUAGAGGGGGGUAGAAUUCCAGGUGUAGCGGUGAAAUGCGUAGAGAUCUGGAGGAAUACCGGUGGCGAAGGCGGCCCCCUGGACAAAGACUGACGCUCAGGUGCGAAAGCGUGGGGAGCAAACAGG
Molecule: ribosomal RNA, 429 nt
Filed under: Chloroflexota bacterium
Lineage: Bacteria; Bacillati; Chloroflexota
Description: Chloroflexi bacterium partial 16S ribosomal RNA
Rfam family: Bacterial small subunit ribosomal RNA
Source: RNAcentral